RNAcentral lists this ribosomal RNA (253 nucleotides) under uncultured microorganism. RNAcentral describes it as "partial 16S ribosomal RNA". It matches the Rfam family "Bacterial small subunit ribosomal RNA", at positions 524 to 776 of the family's 1533-position model. The record is from RNAcentral.
UACGUAGGGUGCGAGCGUUAAUCGGAUUUACUGGGCGUAAAGCGCGCGUAGGUGGCUUGAUAAGCCGGUUGUGAAAGCCCCGGGCUCAACCUGGGAACGGCAUCCGGAACUGUCAAGCUAGAGUGCAGGAGAGGAAGGUAGAAUUCCCGGUGUAGCGGUGAAAUGCGUAGAGAUCGGGAGGAAUACCAGUGGCGAAGGCGGCCUUCUGGACUGACACUGACACUGAGGUGCGAAAGCGUGGGUAGCAAACAGG